AGGGAAUCUUCGGCAAUGGGGGCAACCCUGACCGAGCAACGCCGCGUGAGUGAAGAAGGUUUUCGGAUCGUAAAGCUCUGUUGUAAGUCAAGAACGGGUGUGAGAGUGGAAAGUUCACACUGUGACGGUAGCUUACCAGAAAGGGACGGCUAACUACGUGCCAGCAGCCGCGGUAAUACGUAGGUCCCGAGCGUUGUCCGGAUUUAUUGGGCGUAAAGCGAGCGCAGGCGGUUUGAUAAGUCUGAAGUUAAAGGCUGUGGCUCAACCAUAGUUCGCUUUGGAAACUGUCAAACUUGAGUGCAGAAGGGGAGAGUGGAAUUCCAUGUGUAGCGGUGAAAUGCGUAGAUAUAUGGAGGAACACCGGUGGCGAAAGCGGCUCUCUGGUCUGUAACUGACGCUGAGGCUCGAAAGCGUGGGGAGCGAACAGGAUUAGAUACCCUGGUAGUCCACGCCGUAAACGAUGAGUGCUAGGUGUUGGAUCCUUUCCGGGAUUCAGUGCCGCAGCUAACGCAUUAAGCACUCCGCCUGGGGGAGUACGACCGCAAGGUUGA
Molecule: ribosomal RNA, 551 nt
Filed under: uncultured bacterium
Lineage: Bacteria
Description: partial 16S ribosomal RNA
Rfam family: Bacterial small subunit ribosomal RNA
Source: RNAcentral